AAAUUGAAGAGUUUGAUCAUGGCUCAGAUUGAACGCUGGCGGCAGGCCUAACACAUGCAAGUCGAGCGGUAGCACAGAGAGCUUGCUCUCGGGUGACGAGCGGCGGACGGGUGAGUAAUGUCUGGGAAACUGCCUGAUGGAGGGGGAUAACUACUGGAAACGGUAGCUAAUACCGCAUAACGUCGCAAGACCAAAGUGGGGGACCUUCGGGCCUCAUGCCAUCAGAUGUGCCCAGAUGGGAUUAGCUAGUAGGUGGGGUAACGGCUCACCUAGGCGACGAUCCCUAGCUGGUCUGAGAGGAUGACCAGCCACACUGGAACUGAGACACGGUCCAGACUCCUACGGGAGGCAGCAGUGGGGAAUAUUGCACAAUGGGCGCAAGCCUGAUGCAGCCAUGCCGCGUGUAUGAAGAAGGCCUUCGGGUUGUAAAGUACUUUCAGCGGGGAGGAAGGCGAUAAGGUUAAUAACCUUGUCGAUUGACGUUACCCGCAGAAGAAGCACCGGCUAACUCCGUGCCAGCAGCCGCGGUAAUACGGAGGGUGCAAGCGUUAAUCGGAAUUACUGGGCGUAAAGCGCACGCAGGCGGUCUGUCAAGUCGGAUGUGAAAUCCCCGGGCUCAACCUGGGAACUGCAUUCGAAACUGGCAGGCUAGAGUCUUGUAGAGGGGGGUAGAAUUCCAGGUGUAGCGGUGAAAUGCGUAGAGAUCUGGAGGAAUACCGGUGGCGAAGGCGGCCCCCUGGACAAAGACUGACGCUCAGGUGCGAAAGCGUGGGGAGCAAACAGGAUUAGAUACCCUGGUAGUCCACGCCGUAAACGAUGUCGAUUUGGAGGUUGUGCCCUUGAGGCGUGGCUUCCGGAGCUAACGCGUUAAAUCGACCGCCUGGGGAGUACGGCCGCAAGGUUAAAACUCAAAUGAAUUGACGGGGGCCCGCACAAGCGGUGGAGCAUGUGGUUUAAUUCGAUGCAACGCGAAGAACCUUACCUGGUCUUGACAUCCACAGAACUUAGCAGAGAUGCUUUGGUGCCUUCGGGAACUGUGAGACAGGUGCUGCAUGGCUGUCGUCAGCUCGUGUUGUGAAAUGUUGGGUUAAGUCCCGCAACGAGCGCAACCCUUAUCCUUUGUUGCCAGCGGUCCGGCCGGGAACUCAAAGGAGACUGCCAGUGAUAAACUGGAGGAAGGUGGGGAUGACGUCAAGUCAUCAUGGCCCUUACGACCAGGGCUACACACGUGCUACAAUGGCAUAUACAAAGAGAAGCGACCUCGCGAGAGCAAGCGGACCUCAUAAAGUAUGUCGUAGUCCGGAUUGGAGUCUGCAACUCGACUCCAUGAAGUCGGAAUCGCUAGUAAUCGUAGAUCAGAAUGCUACGGUGAAUACGUUCCCGGGCCUUGUACACACCGCCCGUCACACCAUGGGAGUGGGUUGCAAAAGAAGUAGGUAGCUUAACCUUCGGGAGGGCGCUUACCACUUUGUGAUUCAUGACUGGGGUGAAGUCGUAACAAGGUAACCGUAGGGGAACCUGCGGU
RNAcentral lists this ribosomal RNA (1525 nucleotides) under Klebsiella quasipneumoniae subsp. similipneumoniae. RNAcentral describes it as "bacterial SSU rRNA". It matches the Rfam family "Bacterial small subunit ribosomal RNA". The record is from RNAcentral. Lineage: Bacteria; Pseudomonadati; Pseudomonadota; Gammaproteobacteria; Enterobacterales; Enterobacteriaceae.